UGCUGUUAGUGAUGAUUUUUGAAAAUAACAGAUGGGAAUCUCUCUGAAAAACAAUGAAGAUUAAUUUUUAAAAACUGAAACAGUA
Molecule: small nucleolar RNA, 85 nt
Organism: Equus asinus (donkey)
Lineage: Eukaryota; Metazoa; Chordata; Mammalia; Perissodactyla; Equidae
Gene: SNORD79
Rfam family: Small nucleolar RNA SNORD79
About the family: snoRNA U79 or Z22 is found in intron 7 of the gas5 gene in humans and is also present in mice.
Source: Ensembl